This 491-nucleotide ribosomal RNA is filed under the name uncultured bacterium. RNAcentral's name for it is "partial 16S ribosomal RNA". It matches the Rfam family "Bacterial small subunit ribosomal RNA", at positions 29 to 506 of the family's 1533-position model. The record is from RNAcentral.
AGUGAACGCUGGCGGUAGGCCUAACACAUGCAAGUCGAACGGCAGCACAGUAAGAGCUUGCUCUUACGGGUGGCGAGUGGCGGACGGGUGAGGAAUACAUCGGAAUCUACUUUUUCGUGGGGGAUAACGUAGGGAAACUUACGCUAAUACCGCAUACGACCUACGGUUGAAAGCAGGGGAUCUUCGGACCUUGCGCGAUUGAAUGAGCCGAUGUCGGAUUAGCUAGUUGGCGGGGUAAAGGCCCACCAAGGCGACGAUCCGUAGCUGGUCUGAGAGGAUGAUCGGCCACACUGGAGCGGAGACACGGACCAGGGUCCUGAGAGAGGCAGCAGUGGGGAAUAUUAGACAGUGGGCGCAAGCCUGACCCAGCCAUACCGCGUGGGUGAAGAAGGCCUUCGGGUUGUAAAGCCCUUUUGUUGGGAAAGAAAAGCAGCAGGUUAAUACCCCGCUGUUCUGACGGUACCCAAAGAAUAAGCACCGGCUAACUACGU